Molecule: ribosomal RNA, 270 nt
Filed under: uncultured bacterium
Lineage: Bacteria
Description: partial 16S ribosomal RNA
Rfam family: Bacterial small subunit ribosomal RNA
Source: RNAcentral
CCGGCGACCGGCGCACGGGUGAGUAACACGUAUGCAACCUGGCCGUGACAGAUGGAUAACCGGGAGAAAUCCCGCCUAAUACAGCAUGACGCCGGGAAGGGACAUCCCUUUCCGGCCAAAGGGGGCGACUCCGGUCACGGAUGGGCAUGCGGCGCAUUAGGUAGUUGGUGGGGCAACGGCCCACCAAGCCGACGAUGCGUAGGGGUUCUGAGAGGAAGGUCCCCCACAUUGGAACCGAGACACGGUCCAAACUCCUACGGGAGGCAGCAG